ACGGGUGAGUAAUGCUUAGGAAUCUGCCUAUUAGUGGGGGACAACAUUCCGAAAGGAAUGCUAAUACCGCAUACGCCCUACGGGGGAAAGCAGGGGAUCUUCGGACCUUGCGCUAAUAGAUGAGCCUAAGUCAGAUUAGCUAGUUGGUGGGGUAAAGGCCUACCAAGGCGACGAUCUGUAGCGGGUCUGAGAGGAUGAUCCGCCACACUGGGACUGAGACACGGCCCAGACUCCUACGGGAGGCAGCAGUGGGGAAUAUUGGACAAUGGGCGAAAGCCUGAUCCAGCCAUGCCGCGUGUGUGAAGAAGGCCUUUUGGUUGUAAAGCACUUUAAGCGAGGAGGAGGCUACUUGGAUUAAUACUCUGGGAUAGUGGACGUUACUCGCAGAAUAAGCACCGGCUAACUCUGUGCCAGCAGCCGCGGUAAUACAGAGGGUGCGAGCGUUAAUCGGAUUUACUGGGCGUAAAGCGUGCGUAGGCGGCUUCUUAAGUCGGAUGUGAAAUCCCUGAGCUUAACUUAGGAAUUGCAUUCGAUACUGGGAAGCUAGAGUAUGGGAGAGGAUGGUAGAAUUCCAGGUGUAGCGGUGAAAUGCGUAGAGAUCUGGAGGAAUACCGAUGGC
This 619-nucleotide ribosomal RNA is filed under the name Acinetobacter sp. EECC-424. RNAcentral describes it as "bacterial SSU rRNA". It matches the Rfam family "Bacterial small subunit ribosomal RNA", at positions 102 to 716 of the family's 1533-position model. The record is from RNAcentral. Lineage: Bacteria; Pseudomonadati; Pseudomonadota; Gammaproteobacteria; Moraxellales; Moraxellaceae.